UACGAAGGGGGCUAGCGUUGCUCGGAAUCACUGGGCGUAAAGCGCACGUAGGCGGCUUCUUAAGUCAGGGGUGAAAUCCUGGAGCUCAACUCCAGGACUGCCUUUGAUACUGAGGAGCUUGAGUCCGGGAGAGGUGAGUGGAACUGCGAGUGUAGAGGUGAAAUUCGUAGAUAUUCGCAAGAACACCAGUGGCGAAGGCGGCUCACUGGCCCGGUACUGACGCUGAGGUGCGAAAGCGUGGGGAGCAAACAGG
This 253-nucleotide ribosomal RNA is filed under the name uncultured bacterium. RNAcentral describes it as "partial 16S ribosomal RNA". It matches the Rfam family "Bacterial small subunit ribosomal RNA", at positions 524 to 776 of the family's 1533-position model. The record is from RNAcentral.